GUGAGUGGGAUGCCAAUUGAAGGGUGUGCAAAAUGAACCCAUCAGGCCGAGCGAUUUGGUCCGGUUUACUUUUGUCUAAUGGGUUUAAGGGUUAUCUAACAUUUUGGAAAACCAAACAGCUUCCAAUUUGGUUUGAGUUACAGCUUUAAAAAAAGGUCACGUCAGUAAAUAUGUAGUAGUACACAUAUAACGUGGGAAUUAAACUAUUUGGACACGUACAUUUGAUGUUUAAGAUGCAUAAAUCAAUCUACAAUUUUUGUCAACCAACCAAAGUUGUUGACGGCAGACCCAAAAGAGGCCCCGCGGCACAAUUGACUGCCAUGUGAAUUGUGAUCGGAGGCUGCUGCGGGAGCAUAGCAAGAUGUUGCUGGUUGACGAUGGACGGUUCGGAUGUUGCGAUGGAGCGACUUCCGUGCUACUGCUCCAGAUCGUCGAAGACGGCCGACGGAAAUGGAAGGGUGGUGGUGGAGGAGGUGGGAAGGGGAAUCCGCCGCCAUUCGAUACUUCUCUCGUUACCCUCUCAAGAUCAUUCUACCCAACAAGGUCUAGUCCUCGUCGCCGCCACCGCCACCGCCGCUGUCUUUACACUUCUUUACGCGGGCCAUUCCCCCUCCAUCCAUUUACUUUCAUCUCCACCGAUCGACGGCUGAUCUUCGAUCUCACUCUUGGUCAAAAUGCGAUGAUUUAGCCGUUUCCUUUUCUUUCCCCUUUUGAUAGCGAGAUGGAGCCUCGUCGGCGACGGUGCAUCGUACGCUUCUACCAAGGCCUACGAGUCCGGAAUCGAAUCAUUCAGUGCAAAUUUUGCAGGUAAUUUAAUUCCAGAAACACGAAGCUGAUCACAGAAUUGAAUUUUGGUAUGGUUUCAUUGUUCAUGUUGAAUUUAAUGACUGGUACAUAUCUUUUGUUGUUUAAGUAUGCUCCUACUUUAUCAACUGAAUUCAAUUAAUUCCUUCACUUUGAACAGUAAUUAUUAGUGAUUUUCAUAUGUGCAAUAGGUUAGAGUAACAACUGGAUACUCCCAGACUUGUAUUCUGAUUCCAGAUACGUCAUUGUCGAUUGGGCUACCAGUGAAUUAAAAUUAAUGAGUUAAAAUUGAAGAAAAUUAUAUGGGGUUUUACCGUUCUGUCAGACCAAUCACUACCUGAACUGAUCGAGUCUUGUAUGUCCUUUCGUUAUAUAAAAUAGUCUAGGAUGAUUCAUUUAUGAACCAUUAAAUCCAAAACAAAAUUCUAUGAAAUAAAAAAAUUUUGAUUCUAGAUUAUAUUGAUAAUUUAAAAAAAAAACUACUAGGAUGACAGUUGGGUGGAUAUAGGUGGAUAUGCCCUUAUCGUUUAGUGAUUUAAGACAUCAUUCUAAGACCGUAGAGAUUCAAAUUCUCCUUUCGUUAUUUAAAAAUCGUUGAUUAUAAAUAAUCAAUAAGCCCAAAAGAAAUUCUUUCUAGAUUGAUGCCCAAGCAAUUAGUAGAGACGAAUCAUAAAUUCGUUCUUGUUAGGUAUUAAGAAUCUUUAGAGUUAGGUAUCAUCAACCAUCCAGAAUUUCGUAAACGGAUUAAUCAGCGAACUCAUUUUAUAAUGAGUACAUGUAUUGUAUCUCUAGUGUCCCUAUACGAGUAACUAUGAGACUAAUCACCUCCAUCGUAUGGAUGGAUAUAUAUUACACCAAUUUGUCUAGUUAUCUCGAUAUAUCUCUUAAUUAACUUAUGACCAGAAUUAUUUAUGGUCUGUGUUGAAAUGUAAAGGUGAAUCAGUCUCAAUAUCAUGAUCUUAUUAUAAUCUUAUUCUUAUUGCAUGGAUC
Musa acuminata AAA Group (dessert banana) is the source of this 1794-nucleotide long non-coding RNA. RefSeq lists it as uncharacterized. The record is from RefSeq and is a predicted model, not a curated record. The transcript has 3 exons. Lineage: Eukaryota; Viridiplantae; Streptophyta; Magnoliopsida; Zingiberales; Musaceae.